RNAcentral lists this small RNA (307 nucleotides) under Pongo abelii (Sumatran orangutan). RNAcentral's name for it is "sense intronic". Lineage: Eukaryota; Metazoa; Chordata; Mammalia; Primates; Hominidae. The record is from RNAcentral.
GGGUGAGCGGCUGUCUGGAUGUCGGCGAAGCCGCGGGCGAGAUCACUCCUUUAAAGGCAGAGCAGUGGGCACAGGUGCCAUGGCGGGAAGCAGGCCUUUCUGAAUUCUUAGCAGCGAUCUCCAAGGGCACUGUAACCUUGCAAGAAAGAGGCUGCCAGUCUUGCAUCAGAUACAGAAACCAGGGCGCAGAGUAGCCUGCCCCUCCUGUGACUUCCCCGUCUCGGGAAAUGGCACCAUCAUCAUCUGCCUGGUGGCUCCGGCCAGAAAACAGGCAGGCACCUUUGGAUCGUCUCACCCUCACCACCCA